This 1125-nucleotide long non-coding RNA is filed under the name Gallus gallus (chicken). RNAcentral's name for it is "lncRNA (ENSGALG00010007622.1)". The record is from RNAcentral. Lineage: Eukaryota; Metazoa; Chordata; Aves; Galliformes; Phasianidae.
CGUGCACGAAACCACACGGCAGCCCUGCGCGGCACAACAUCUCCUGCGAGGCCCGGGGAGCUGCUGGGGAGGAGAGGGAUCGGAUCUGAGGGCUUCUCAAGUUCUGAGCGACCUUCAUUGCCCAAAUAUGGCCCAGCGGCGUCGGGAAGCUUAAAAGGCCGGUGGUGACGGGCCUGUAACUCACAGCAGCUUUGCUGAGUGCGGCACGGAGCCCGUUUCGAUGGGGGAAACGCUGCUUUGCGGCUUCGCAAAGGGGCCAGAAGAGCAUUUAAAGCCCUCCGUGCUUUUGUUUUCACAUCAAGCUGAGGAAACGUAUUGUAAAAGCCCCGCGUUUCGACGGCAUCAAAGCCAUAAUACUCGGGGGGACGUCCUCGGCUUGCGCACGUGGGCAGCAGAUAUCGAAGCAGAGAUCAAACGCCAGGGCUUCCCCUCAGACACCCCGCGAUGGAACUGUUCUCCAAGCAGCACAGAGCUGAUUUCACGCGUGCUGCUCCCGCUUUGCCAUGCAGAAGGAAACGUGCUGCGAAUGAAAGGGCAACCGAAGCCCUCGCAGUGCCUGAGAAGGGUGAUACCCAACAGCCAUAAAGGCACGACAGACGAGGGCUGGGAUCUUUGAGCUUGGAGAAGAGGAGGCCUCAUCGCGGCCUUCCAGGAUUUGAAGGGAGGCUAUGAACAGGAGGUGGUACAUCUGUUUAUCAGGGUGGAUAGUGAUAGGGCAUGGGGGAAUGGUUUUAAACUGGGAUAGGGGAGGUUUGGGUUGGAUAUGAGGAGGCAGUUUUUCACACACACAGGGUGGUGAUGCACUGGAACAGGUUGCCCAAGGAGGCUGUGGAUGCCCCAUGCCUGGAGGCAUUGAAGGCCAGGCUGGAUGUGGCUCUGGUCUGCUGGUUGGAGACCCUGCGCACAGCAGGGGCUUGGAACGAGCUGAUCACUGUAGUCCUUUUCAACCCAGGCCAUUCUGUGAUUCUACGAUCUCUGCACCCUUCGCUGGGCCCUCUCCAGCACUUCCCAGCCCGGGCAGCAGGGCAGGCCGCGGGGCAGCAGGCCGUCUCCAUGGUAACGGCCGCCAUGACACCCCGCCGCGGGCCGCUCUGCUCCGCCGAAGCCGUCUCGAUGGUAGGCGCG